GAGAUUAACCUAAUCGGAUUACUGGGCGUAAGCGCGCGUAGGUGGCUUGAUAAGCCGGUUGUGAAAGCCCCGGGCUCAACCUGGGAACGGCAUCCGGAACUGUCAAGCUAGAGUGCAGGAGAGGAAGGUAGAAUUCCCGGUGUAGCGGUGAAAUGCGUAGAGAUCGGGAGGAAUACCAGUGGCGAAGGCGGCCUUCUGGACUGACACUGACACUGAGGUGCGAAAGCGUGGGUAGCAAACAGGAUUAGAUACCCUGGUAGUCCACGCCGUAAACGAUGUCGACCAGCCGUUGGGUGCCUAGCGCACUUUGUGGCGAAGUUAACGCGAUAAGUCGACCGCCUGGGGAGUACGGCCGCAAGGUUAAAACUCAAAUGAAUUGACGGGGGCCCGCACAAGCGGUGGAGCAUGUGGUUUAAUUCGAUGCAACGCGAAGAACCUUACCUACUCUUGACAUCCUGCGAAUUCGGUAGAGAUACCUUAGUGCCUUCGGGAACGCAGAGACAGGUGCUGCAUGGCUGUCGUCAGCUCGUGUUGUGAAAUGUUGGGUUAAGUCCCGUAACGAGCGCAACCCUUGUCCUUAUUUGCCAGCGCGUAAUGGCGGGAACUCUAAGGAGACUGCCGGUGACAAACCGGAGGAAGGUGGGGACGACGUCAAGUCAUCAUGGCCCUUACGAGUAGGGCUACACACGUGCUACAAUGGUCGGUACAAAGGGUUGCCAACUCGCGAGAGUGAGCCAAUCCCGAAAAGCCGAUCUCAGUCCGGAUCGGAGUCUGCAACUCGACUCCGUGAAGUCGGAAUCGCUAGUAAUCGUAGAUCAGAAUGCUACGGUGAAUACGUUCCCGGGCCUUGUACACACCGCCCGUCACACCAUGGGAGUGGACUGCACCAGAAGUGGUUAGCCUAACGCAAGAGGGCGUCACCAUCGGGGUUAACA
This 935-nucleotide ribosomal RNA is filed under the name Vreelandella aquamarina. RNAcentral describes it as "bacterial SSU rRNA". It matches the Rfam family "Bacterial small subunit ribosomal RNA", at positions 531 to 1470 of the family's 1533-position model. The record is from RNAcentral. Lineage: Bacteria; Pseudomonadati; Pseudomonadota; Gammaproteobacteria; Oceanospirillales; Halomonadaceae.